GAUGAACGCUGGCGGCGUGCCUAAUACAUGCAAGUCGAGCGAACAGACGAGGAGCUUGCUCCUCUGACGUUAGCGGAGGACGGGUGAGUAACACGUGGAUAACCUACCUAUAAUACUGGUAUAACUUGGGGAAACCGGAGCUAAUACCGGAUGAGCUAUUGAACCGCAGUGGUCAAUAGUGAAAGACGGUGGUGCGGUCACUUAUAGAUGGAUCCGCGCCGCAUUAGAUAGUUGGUAAGGUAACGGCUUACCAAGGCAACGAUGCGUAGCCGACCUGAGAGGGUGAUAGGCCACCCUGGAACUUAGACACGGUCCAGACUCCUACGGGAGGCAGCAGUAGGGAACCUUCGGCAACAGGCGAAAGCUUGACGGAGUAACGCCGCGUCAGUGAUGAAGGCCCCCGGAUCGUAAAAAUCUGUUAUUGGGGAAGAACCACUGUGUCAGUAAACAUGCCCGUCUUGACGGUAACUAAUCAGAAAGCAACGGCUAACUACGUG
Molecule: ribosomal RNA, 497 nt
Filed under: uncultured bacterium
Lineage: Bacteria
Description: partial 16S ribosomal RNA
Rfam family: Bacterial small subunit ribosomal RNA
Source: RNAcentral